GACGAACGCUGGCGGCGUGCUUAACACAUGCAAGUCGAGCGAUGAAGCACCUUCGGGUGUGGAUUAGCGGCGAACGGGUGAGGAACACGUGAGGAAUCUGCCUUUCACUUCGGGAUAACUCCGGGAAACCGGGGCUAAUACCGGAUAUUUUCAACUGGCGGCAUCGCCGGUUGAAGAAAGUUUUUCGGUGAAAGAUGACCUCGCGGCCUAUCAGCUUGUUGGUGAGGUAAUGGCUCACCAAGGCGACGACGGGUAGCCGGCCUGAGAGGGCGACCGGCCACACUGGGACUGAGACACGGCCCAUACUCCUACGGGAGGCAGCAGUCGAGAAUAUUGCGCAAUGGGGGAAACCCUGACGCAGCGACGCCGCGUGCAUGAUGAAGCCCUUCGGGGCGUAAAGUGCUUUUCUCUAUGAAGAACCUUUUAGGUGACAGUAAUAGAGGAAUAAGGGGAUGCUAAUCACGUGCCAGCCGCCGCCGUAA
Molecule: ribosomal RNA, 482 nt
Filed under: uncultured bacterium
Lineage: Bacteria
Description: partial 16S ribosomal RNA
Rfam family: Bacterial small subunit ribosomal RNA
Source: RNAcentral